AGAGUUUGAUCCUGGCUCAGAACGAACGCUGGCGGCAGGCCUAACACAUGCAAGUCGAGCGCCCGCAAGGGAGCGGCAGACGGGUGAGUAACGCGUGGGAACGUGCCCUUUGGUUCGGAAUAUUCCCGGGAAACUGGGAGCAAAACCGGAUAAGCCCUUCGGGGGAAAGUUUACGCCAAAGGAUCGGCCCGCGUUAGAUUAGGUAGUUGGUGGGGUAACGGCCUACCAAGCCUACGAUCUAUAGCUGAUCUGAGAGGAUGAUCAGCCACACUGGGACUGAGACACAGCCCAGACUCCUACGGGAGGCAGCAGUGGGGAAUCUUGGACAAUGGGCACAAGCCUGAUCCAGCCAUGCCGCGUGGAUGACUGAAGGCCCUAGGGUUGUAAAGUCCUUUCGACGGGGACGAUAAUGACGGUACCCGUAGAAGAAGCCCCGGCUAACUUCGUGCCAGUAGCCGCGGUAAUACGAAGGGGGCUAGCGUUGUUCGGAUUUACUGGGCGUAAAGGGCGCGUAGGCGGAUUUUUAAGUCGGGGGUGAAAUCCCGGAGCUCAACUCCGGAACUGCCUUCGAUACUGGAAGUCUGGAGCACGGUAGAGGUGAGUGGAAUUCCGAGUGUAGCGGUGAAAUGCGUAGA
This 635-nucleotide ribosomal RNA is filed under the name uncultured bacterium. RNAcentral describes it as "bacterial SSU rRNA". It matches the Rfam family "Bacterial small subunit ribosomal RNA", at positions 8 to 694 of the family's 1533-position model. The record is from RNAcentral.